UAUUGUAUUUAAUAGUUUUAAUGGAUUUUAUGUAUUGUUUGAUAUUGUUUUUGUGUGGGCAUCAAAUUGUUGCCAUUGUUGUAAGCCGCCCUGAGUCCCUUCGGGUGAGACGGGCGGGACACAAAAGCUGGAAAUAAGCAUAAAUAAAUAAAUAAACCCCACUUGACUAGUAAAAAAAAUAAAAGGCGACAUAAUGCUCUCUCGCUUUCUCCUGGGCCCGCCUUGCAGAAGCGCCCUCCUUCCUUCCAACCUUCUUGGGGGGCAAGGCAACCGCGUUGGGGUCCUGCGCGCGCAACCUUCCUCCUCCUCCUCCUGGCUGUUCCGCCUCCCUGCUCCCCUCCCCCCGCCCUCCUCCUGAGGUGGGCGUGGCCCCGCCUGCCGCUGUGCCGCCGCCUCUGCCGCACCCCCCGCCGCUGCCGAGGGAAGAGGGAGGAGAGAGGCUCCUUGGUGCUGAGCAGCAGCAUACGCCGUGAACCCCGACCCCGCCCUCGGCUGGCCAAUAAGAGCGCAGCUCGUCUCCAAACCCAAAAUUUCCACGUCGGCAAAAGUCAAGAUGGAGCGGCAGAGGAGGCAGCUGGAGGCCUCCCCGCUCUCCCUCCCUCCCGUCCUUCCCCUUUUCUGCAGCGGAGACGCCCGGCCCUCCCUCCCGCCCUCCCUCCCUUCCUUGCAGCUGGAGGAGGAGGAGGCGCCGCACGGACCUGUUGCGUUGGCAGCUGCCUUGGGCUCCAGGUGCAAAGGGGGCGCCAGGUGGGGAGGUCGGAGCUGCUGCCGGGCUGCUUCUUUCCUCCUCUUAGCCUUUUGCAUUGGAGAUGGGGUUGCUCCCCUGGAGCCCUGCAGGGAACAGCCCGGUGGGCGCCUUUUCCCUUGGCAAGGCCACAAUGCAGUGGCUCCUGCCUCCACAGCUGGUCAACAGGCUUCCCCAGGUAGGCUUUGGUGGGCUCCUGGCCCUCGCCUGCUGCACUUCUGCUCCUGCCUCCAGACCUUCACAGCACAGGUAGGCUUAGAAGCCCUAAGGAUAAGGGGAGAGGGAGUUUCCCAUAGGGAACCCCCAUGCAGGCUUCUCCCUUGCAGGCUUCCCCAGGUAGGCUUUGGUGGGCUCUUGGCCCUCGCCUGCUGCACUUCUGCUCCUGCCUCCAGACCUUUCACAGCACAGGUAGGCUUAGAAGCUUUAAGGAUAAGGGGAGAGGGAGUUUCCCAUAGGGAACCCCCAUGCAGGCUUCUCCCUUGCAGGCUUCCCCAGGUAGGCUUUGGUGGGCUCCUGGCCCUCGCCUGCUGCACUUCUGCUCCUGCCUCCAGACCUUCACAGCACAGGUAGGCUUAGAAGCCCUAAGGAUAAGGGGAGAGGGAGUUUCCCAUAGGGAACCCCCAUGCAGGCUUCUCCCUUGCAGGCUUCCCCAGGUAGGCUUUGGUGGGCUCCUGGCCCUCGCCUGCUGCACUUCUGCUCCUGCCUCCAGACCUUCACAGCACAGUUGGCAAGAGGAAAAGGCCAUUCGAUUGAUGACAUAGGUUGGAGGAAAAAGCAGAUUUGGUCUCUGGAAGCAAAGUUCUGUGACACUCGGACUCUGAUUAUGAUAGAAGUCAGUGCACUACAGAACUUUGUCGCCGGGGGCCGUGGCAGCCAAGGAGUUAAUGCCACACUCCGGAAACUCAGGUGGACACGUCACUGCAGCAGCCUCCAACAGGGUGAGAUGGGAGGGCUUGAAGCAGAAUGGGAUGGGAGAGGUGGCACUACUCAAGUGGUUAUGCAAAAGUGCCAAACUGUAUGCCUGUGUUUAAAUAAAGCCUUUGCUCUUUGGAAA
Anolis carolinensis (green anole) is the source of this 1799-nucleotide RNA transcript. RefSeq lists it as uncharacterized. Lineage: Eukaryota; Metazoa; Chordata; Lepidosauria; Squamata; Anolidae. The record is from RefSeq and is a predicted model, not a curated record. The transcript has 2 exons.